UACGGAGGGUGCAAGCGUUAUCCGGAUUCACUGGGUUUAAAGGGUGCGUAGGUGGGCAGGUAAGUCAGUGGUGAAAUCUUUGGGCUUAACCCGAAAACUGCCAUUGAUACUAUCUGUCUUGAAUACCGUGGAGGUGAGCGGAAUAUGUCAUGUAGCGGUGAAAUGCUUAGAUAUGACAUAGAACACCAAUUGCGAAGGCAGCUCGCUACACGAAUAUUGACUCUGAGGCACGAAAGCGUGGGGAUCAAACAGG
Molecule: ribosomal RNA, 253 nt
Filed under: uncultured bacterium
Lineage: Bacteria
Description: partial 16S ribosomal RNA
Rfam family: Bacterial small subunit ribosomal RNA
Source: RNAcentral